GCGUGCGUAGCCCAAAUGGUUAGAGCAUGAGGCUGUAGAGUCUCGAGGUUCCAGGUUCGAGUCCUGGCGUAUGCU
Non-coding RNA from Hypoxylon sp. FL1150, 75 nucleotides. Lineage: Eukaryota; Fungi; Ascomycota; Sordariomycetes; Xylariales; Hypoxylaceae. The record is from the annotation of a GenBank genome assembly.